CCUUCGGGCUUAGUGGCGCACGGGUGCGUAACGCUGGGAAUCUGCCCUUGGGUUCGGAAUAACAGUUAGAAAUGACUGCUAAUACCGAAUGAUGUCUUCGGACCAAAGAUUAUCGCCCAAGGAGGGGCCCGCGUUCCGAUUAGGUAGUUGGUGGGGUAAUGGCCUACCAAGCCGACGAUCGGUAGCUGGUCUGAGAGGAUGAUCAGCCACACUGGGACUGAGAUACGGCCCAGACUCCUACGGGAGGCAGCAGUGGGGAAUAUUGGACAAUGGGGGCAACCCUGAUCCAGCAAUGCCGCGUGAGUGAUGAAGGCCUUAGGGUUGUAAAAGCUCUUUUGGCCAGGGAAGAUGAUGACUGUACCUGGAGAAUAAGCCCCGGCUAACUUCGUG
Molecule: ribosomal RNA, 390 nt
Filed under: uncultured bacterium
Lineage: Bacteria
Description: bacterial SSU rRNA
Rfam family: Bacterial small subunit ribosomal RNA
Source: RNAcentral